Pimephales promelas (fathead minnow) is the source of this 881-nucleotide non-coding RNA. Lineage: Eukaryota; Metazoa; Chordata; Actinopteri; Cypriniformes; Leuciscidae. The record is from RefSeq and is a predicted model, not a curated record.
CUGGUGGCGUGAUUACCUGAUGAGCGACACCUGUGAGACACGUUUACAGUCGUCUCUGGGGCGGCACUCGGGAGCGAAAUCCCCCCUUUCACCACCACCCACCUUCACCCUGUCAUUAGUCUGGAACGUGAAGAGAUUAUCAAAGCAGAAGUGAUGCCAUGGUAGUGCCUGGUGGCCAGACAGCGAGUGAAGUAAAACACGCUGUCUGUGUGGAGGGAAGAGGGCUCUGAAUCCCCAUCAUUUCCUUUCUGCAGGACUGCGAACCAUAAAGAGGAUAACUUUCCUAAAGAGGAACAGCUGUGGAAGCAGGAGUGGAGUGAGGCUGGUAUUUUUGGAGAGCAGGCCUUCUGCAUCAUGAAAGCGUGGGGUGGGUCACAACACCUGUUUGCUCAGGACAGACACCCGCCUAUCAAAGCACAGAGUCUCCGACCGUGCAAGACCGAGCCGGUCGCCGUGUAAUGACAAGACGUUCAGAAAGCUCCUCAAUGCUGCACAGCGCCAGUGUGUCCCUUUUCCUCAAGUAUGAAUGCAGCCUAUGAAAUGCUAGUGUUUAGCUUGAUUCUGGUUUAUAAUGAAAGAGUAAUAUGUGCUUGUUGACGUUCCAAAGGUUUAAAAUAAUGCCUAGAUAUCAUGAUGCAGCAGAUUUGGUCUUUGUUAAAGGGAUAGAUCACCUAAAAAUUUACAUUCUAUAAUUCACUCCCCCAUGCACUCGUUUCCAAACCUGUAUGUCGAAGAGGCCAUUCGCACAGAACACUUUUUGGGGAGUUAAAUCACAGGAUGCAGGGCAGCUUUUUUUGUUGUUGUUGAUUUUAAUGUAACUUUAGCACCAUGUUUUUAUAACACUGUCUCAUGCACGGGACACUGCAAAAGAUUGACCAAUU